UCACACUCUUCUUUAUCUAUCAUCACCUCCAUCUCCAGAACUUUUCAUCAUCCUGUACUGAAACUCUGUACCAACUAAACGCUAACUCCCAUUCUUUCCUCCCCCGGCCUCUAGAAACCACUAUUCUGCUUUUGUCUCUGUGAAUUUGACUGCUCUGAGGAUCUCAUAUAAGCAGAA
Non-coding RNA from Vicugna pacos (alpaca), 177 nucleotides. The record is from RefSeq and is a predicted model, not a curated record. Lineage: Eukaryota; Metazoa; Chordata; Mammalia; Artiodactyla; Camelidae.